AGUAGCGGUGAAAUGCGUAGAUAUCUGGAGGAAUACCAAAGGCGAAGGCAGUCCCCUGGUCCGAUACUGACACUGAGGUACGAAAGCGUGGGGAGCAAACAGGAUUAGAUACCCUGGUAGUCCACGCCCUAAACGAUGUCGAUUAGCCAUUGGAAGGACCCCUUUUCCUUUCAGUGACGUAGCUAACGCGUUAAAUCGACCGCCUGGGAAGUACGACCGCAAGGGUUAAAACUCAAAGGAAUUGACGGGGACCUGAACAAGCGGUGAAUGAUGUGGAUUAAUUCGAUGCUACGCGAAGAACCUUACCUACCUUUGACAUGGCCAAAGUUCUACCGAGAGGCGGAAGUACUCGUAAGAGGAUUGGCGCACAGGUGCUGCAUGGUUGUCGUCAGUUCGUGUCGUGAGAUGUUGGGUUCAGUCCCGCAACGAACGCAACCCUUAUCUUUAAUUGCUCCUAUUUUAACAGGCACUUUAAAGAAACUGCCAAUGAUAAGUUGGAGGAAGGUGGGGAUCACGUCAAGUCCGCAUGGCCUUUAUAGGUAGGGCUUCACACGUCAUACAAUGGUUAGAACAAAGAGCUGCAAAUUCGUAAGAAGGAGCCAAUCUCACAAACCUAACCUCAGUUCGAAUUGCGGUCUGCAACUCGAGCGCAUGAAGCCGGAAUCGCUAGUAAUCGUGGAUCAGAAUGCCA
Molecule: ribosomal RNA, 691 nt
Filed under: uncultured Candidatus Tremblayella sp.
Lineage: Bacteria; Pseudomonadati; Pseudomonadota; Betaproteobacteria
Description: bacterial SSU rRNA
Rfam family: Bacterial small subunit ribosomal RNA
Source: RNAcentral